AAUUAGCUCAGCUGGGAGAGCGCCUGCUUUGCACGCAGGAGGUCAGCGGUUCGAUCCCGCUAUU
RNAcentral lists this transfer RNA (64 nucleotides) under Campylobacter coli. RNAcentral's name for it is "tRNA-Ala". It matches the Rfam family "tRNA", at positions 5 to 66 of the family's 71-position model. Rfam says of the family: Transfer RNA (tRNA) molecules are approximately 80 nucleotides in length. Their secondary structure includes four short double-helical elements and three loops (D, anti-codon, and T loops). Lineage: Bacteria; Pseudomonadati; Campylobacterota; Epsilonproteobacteria; Campylobacterales; Campylobacteraceae. The record is from RNAcentral.